This is a long non-coding RNA of Homo sapiens (human), 971 nucleotides long. The record is from Ensembl. NCBI's taxonomy places the organism in Eukaryota, Metazoa, Chordata, Mammalia, Primates, Hominidae.
GAGAUACAUAGGGUGAGAAACGGAGGCCUUCAGCCAACAGCUGGGAGAAGCUGAGUCCCAUCAGCCAUUCAAAAGACUGCAGCCCCAGCCAAGAGUUUGAUGUAACCUCAGGAGAGACCCUGAGCCAGAACCACCUAGAAAUCUCCAAGUGAGAAGACCUUACUUGUCUUCUGAAAGUCUGGCCAACGAGCUAUACCUAGUGAUUCCAAAGUCCACAUAUAUUUACUCUGUUCUCACUGUACAAAGUAACCACUCUGAAGUCAAAAAAGCUGGGAUACAUGAAGACUGCCAUCCCUUGAGUCACUUGCCCUGUAGCUGCCACUGUUGGAAAAGGGCUUGCUUCUGUGUCCUUGUGCCCACUUUGAAAAUCCCUGGGAAGUCCUUGGAGUCAGAUGAGCAGGCCUCCGCCACUCUGCCAAAAAGUCUGUUCAGAAGUUUCACAUCACUAGAGAAGAGAGAAGAAGGACAUUUGUACUGGGAGGAGUCGACCGGUCCCAGUAAGGAGAAAGUAGCUACAGCGUCAUGGGUGAGCUGGGUCCCCCAAAAAGGAACUUUAAGGGAAUGGACUGAAUCAAGUCUGAGAUGUCCCCAAAGCAAGACCAAAGAACUGAGGAAGAGAAGCAUUCAUCAGAAACCAAAAUUCAGCUACAAGUGAGCAUCCAGAUGGAGGUAUUAUGAAGAGGAACUGAGACUGAGGGCAAAAGGUGCCAGCCAGAAUCCUGGAUAGGAGAGCAAGAACCAGGACCUCAUUUAAGAGACAACCUGCUUAAGGCAGAGUAAGGGUAUUUUUCCUCUGGAAAUGAGCUGACUAGGCACGCUACUUCUACUUGAAAAAGACUGAUGCUUGUCUUACACCAUUUUGAGGUCACCACAGUACAUGACUCAGAAUCAUUAGACAAAUGUUGAUUGAAUAUCUCCUACAUUCCAAAUACUGUGUUGAAUGUGGUUAAAGCAUUAAAUGUUAAUGGAAU